AAGAAUACAAGAAUACAAGUUAGUAAAAUUUCCUUGAAGGACAGAAAUGAUAAAUAUACUUGUGGAUUUCAUGUUUCAGUGUCUCUUUGUCAGCUGUCCUAUCAUGGGAAAUGUAUUUCAGAAGUCUUUCUGUGUCUUAUCCACAUCACUAGAGCUCAUCAUUCCAGAACAAACCCAACAGACACCUCUCCAGCAAGAGACUGCAAGAGAUUGAGAGUCCACUUGGAUGAGAACUGAAGCAUCUCAUCUGACAGCCAAACACCUCUGAAACAGUGCUCACUGGCUGAUGUGCAGCUAACCGCAACAGCAUGAAUAAAAGAACUGGCUCUUUGA
Molecule: long non-coding RNA, 333 nt
Organism: Tupaia belangeri chinensis (Chinese tree shrew)
Lineage: Eukaryota; Metazoa; Chordata; Mammalia; Scandentia; Tupaiidae
Exons: 3
Source: RefSeq, a predicted model, not a curated record